RNAcentral lists this long non-coding RNA (428 nucleotides) under Capra hircus (goat). RNAcentral's name for it is "lncRNA (ENSCHIG00000006881.1)". Lineage: Eukaryota; Metazoa; Chordata; Mammalia; Artiodactyla; Bovidae. The record is from RNAcentral.
CAGAGGUCAGAGCUGAAGGUUUCUGCUAGAAGCAAGCUAUAUACAGAGACCUCUGGGAAAAGUGAACAGGAUCUCCCUGUUAAUGUUGAUCUCCACUCCUUGCCAUUAAUUGUGAAAGCCAUCAUAUUACAACAGUAUAGCUCAAUUUCAACCUUGAACCUGGAGUACUCCAAAUCCAAAGGUGGGAUUCAGCAACUGAGACAAUAACCAUUAUAUGCUUCCACGAUGAAGUUAUACAUCUAUAUCACUGAUUGACUUGGUGGUAAAUUUGAAAUGUUUGCCAUUAUUGGGUUUCUUUAGUUUUUGUUCAAAGCACUUAAAGAUAAGGUUUAGUCUGGUUUUUGUUGCUGGUCUCAGAAAACUAAACCUGCCAGAAGGUAGAUGAGUCAAAGAAGUAAAUCUGUGAAAGAGGUAAUUAGAACAAUCAG